AGCCCUUUAGUAUAAAAGUAUUUCUAAUUUCCAAUUAGAAGGUUUAUGGGCUU
This 53-nucleotide transfer RNA is filed under the name Histiostoma blomquisti. RNAcentral's name for it is "tRNA-Gly". Lineage: Eukaryota; Metazoa; Arthropoda; Arachnida; Sarcoptiformes; Histiostomatidae. The record is from RNAcentral.